RNAcentral lists this ribosomal RNA (253 nucleotides) under uncultured bacterium. RNAcentral's name for it is "partial 16S ribosomal RNA". It matches the Rfam family "Bacterial small subunit ribosomal RNA", at positions 524 to 776 of the family's 1533-position model. The record is from RNAcentral.
UACGUAGGGGGCAAGCGUUGUCCGGAAUUAUUGGGCGUAAAGGGCUCGUAGGCGGUUUGUCGCGUCGGGAGUGAAAACUCAGGGCUUAACCCUGAGCCUGCUUCCGAUACGGGCAGACUAGAGGUAUGCAGGGGAGAACGGAAUUCCUGGUGUAGCGGUGAAAUGCGUAGAGAUCCGGAGGAACACCAAAGGCGAAGGCAGUGUCCUGGGGAGUACCUGACGCUCAGGUGCGAAAGCCAGGGGAGCGAACGGG